This 188-nucleotide non-coding RNA is filed under the name Bacteroides cutis. Lineage: Bacteria; Pseudomonadati; Bacteroidota; Bacteroidia; Bacteroidales; Bacteroidaceae. The record is from RNAcentral.
GCUUAUGGCUUUCGCUAUUUGCAAUUAAAAGGGAAACGGGUGUAAGUCCCGUACAGUCCCGCUGCUGUAAGGUUUCAUAUUAAACAUUUCAGUAAUUACCUCCUGCCACUAAUGGUUUUUCGAUAUUGGAGAAUGAUUGGGAAGGCUGCUCGAAAUGGAAAUCAAGUCAGAAGACCUGCCAUUCUUUA